GUCUAUUUGGUCCUGCCUUUUUUUAUUAGUUUGUCCGGAAUUUUUUUACAUAAAUCGUCAUCCGGCCUUUUUUCUUUUGCCAAGUUGCCCAUCCUGCCUUUUCAUAUCUUUCGCAAGUUUUAGGUAUUCGACUAAGAAAAGUGUGAUUUUUUUCUGAUUCAGUAAACUUAGUUUUGAGAAAAAAAAAUCCAGAAUUCUGAGUAAAUUAAGAACAUGUAACCAACCAUACUUUGUUUAGAGUAAAAUGGAGAUGGCAAACCAUGAUCAACC
RNAcentral lists this long non-coding RNA (270 nucleotides) under Mytilus galloprovincialis (Mediterranean mussel). Lineage: Eukaryota; Metazoa; Mollusca; Bivalvia; Mytilida; Mytilidae. The record is from RNAcentral.